UAGUAGAGCAGGGCUGCUGUGCUCUCAGGAGCACGGAAGCCUCCGUGCUCCUGAGCCAUUUUCGAUAAUGGAGUUUCCGAAUCGACGAUCGGCUCUGUUAAACUUGAUCUACCGUAUUUGAAGUUUCUAGAAAAUAAUUUUUGCGAUUUUUCGAUAUCAUUUACCUAGCAAUCGAAAUGAUUCAAAAUCAAUAAUUUUUAACGGCUGAAAAUAAAAAUCCUAUAAAAAGUGGAGAUAUAGCACUAAAAUUUUCGAUCAGAAAUAUUGAUCUUAUUGUAGAUAGUAUAAAGAAUUUUGUAUCAAAAUUUCAUCUGAUUUGAAUACUUUUACACUGUUAAACUUGAAAACGGCAGAUAUCAACCGUUAAAAAUUAUUGAUUUUGAAUCCUUUCGAUCACUAGGUAAAUGAUAUCAAAAAACUGUAAAAAUUAUUUUCUAGAAACUUCAAAUGCGCUAAAUCAAGUCUAGCGGAGCCGAUCAUCGCUUCGAAAAUUCCAUCAUCGAAAACGGCUCAGGAGCACAGAGGUACUAUACUAUCGAUAUAUAUAUAUAUAUGGAGUCCGGCUACUAUACUAUCGAUAGUACCAAGCCAUUGGUACUAUUGAGUUUUCUACCGUUAGAUCUAUCCUUUGAUCAUUUCCAUCCGUUAGAUUAUACUAUUAAACCAACCACCUACUCAACCCUAGGGGACCAUUAUCAUUCUAACCACACAUCCUUUCAUCCAACGGCCGAAAACUCAAUAGUACUAAGGGCUUGGUACUGUUGAUAGUAUAGUAGCAUAAUUCUAUAUAUAUAUAUAUAUAUAUAUAUAUAUAUAUAUAUAUAAAGUAGGACUACUAUGCUAUUAGGAGCACAACAACUCUUAUGCUCCUAACUUUCUAACCACCCAUCAAUUUCUCCUCAAUUUUGAUAGUCGGUUAGGGUCAAUUUUGACAGAUGGUUAGGAUGAGAGAGAAAUUCAAAAAGAAGAGAAUUGAGACAUCCAAUUUUUUUCCAAUUUUUCUUCUCUCUCUAAUCCUAACCACCAAUCAAAAUUGAUGAAUGGUUAGGAAGUUAGGAGCAUAUAGGCUACUGUGCUAUAUAUAUAUAUAUAUAUAGAGUCCGGCUACUAUACUUUUAUGAGUAUUGGUUCCCUUAUACUCAUAAGUUUUCGGCCCUUAGAUUUAUUUCAUUAAUCAUUUUCACCCAUUAUAUCAUACUAUUCAACCAACUACCCACUCAACACUAGGGCACCACUAUCAUUUUAAGUGGGGACCACUAUCAUCCUAUCUACACAUCCCAUCAAUCAACGGUUAAAAAUUUAUCAGUACAGGGUGUUCUAUACUCAUAAUAGUAUAGUAGUCCCAACCUAUAUAUAUAUAUAUAUAUAUAUAUAGUUGAGCUGGAAUGCUAUCGGUAGCAAAUGGGCUCCGUUGCCACCCAUUUGUUUUCGAUAAUGGAGCCUUCAAAUCGACGAUCGGCACCGUUGAACAUAAUCCAUAUCACUUGAAGUAUCUAGAAAUCAAAUUUCAAAUCUUUUCGACAUCAUUGACCUAAUAAUCAAAGGAUUUCAAAAUUUGUAAUUUUAAUGGUCGAUAUGAGGCGUUUUCUCGUUUAACGGUGUAAAGCUAUCCAAAUCAAUUAAAUUUUGGUUAGAAAAUUCUUUAAACUAUUUCGAACAAGAUCUAUACUCUCGAUCUUGAUUACAAAAUUCCUAUCAUCACUUUUUAAAGGAUAUUCAUUUUCAGCCGUUCAUUUUUACGCCCACUUGAUGGACAAGAUAACAAUAUCGAAAAAGUAUGAAAUUUGAUUUCUAGAUACUUCAAGUGGUAUAGAUCAUUUUCAACGGUGCCGAUCGUCGAUUUGGAGGCUCGAUC
Molecule: long non-coding RNA, 1855 nt
Filed under: Ananas comosus (pineapple)
Lineage: Eukaryota; Viridiplantae; Streptophyta; Magnoliopsida; Poales; Bromeliaceae
Description: long non-coding RNA (ACOM_LNC024682)
Source: RNAcentral